Non-coding RNA from Pelobates cultripes (western spadefoot toad), 3278 nucleotides. Lineage: Eukaryota; Metazoa; Chordata; Amphibia; Anura; Pelobatidae. The record is from the annotation of a GenBank genome assembly.
GCAUUGUACUGACUUUAUCCCAAGAACAUCUUUACUUUUGGAAUAGUAGAAUAGAAAGGUUCUUACAUUUCAAUUUCUCUAUAGAAGAAGAUGCUCUUCUCUCUUCUUUGAAACUAUUGGUUAGAAGAAAAAAAAAGAGAAACAACCCUCCCGCAACAACAAUACAAAUAUUAUCCCAUACUUUCACACAAUAAAAUCCAUUACAUUUAAAGAAGAAAGCAACACAGACCUCUUUAGCUAGCCAGUUGUCCCAUGAAGAAAUCCUCAGCCUGUGAAUCAUAAAGCAAACGACAGGUCUCCCACAUCCCACAUAUUUCCAAACAUUUCGCUUUCCAAUCACAUCAGCCAAAUUCUUUCAUUAAUGGAGUCACUCACAAUUGGUAGGACUUCCUCCUAGACCAAAGGUUGUUUUCCAACUUCUUGAGAGACUCUGAAACUCAUCAAAAACAAUUCUCACCUGAAAACCGAUGAAGAUCCAAUAAUACGUUGUCCAAUUCUUCGUACUGCAUAAGGCGACUCUUGAGAUAUCUGUCAAGCAGCAAACUACAUAGACAGGCACACAAAGAGGCUCUUUCCCAUCAUCCCACAAGGACAUGUUGAAAUUAUGCAUUGUACUGACUUUAUCCCAAGAACAUCUUUACUUUUGGAAUAGUAGAAUAGAAAGGUUCUUACAUUUCAAUUUCUCAAUAGAAGAUGCUCUUCUCUCUUCUUUGAAACUAUUGGUUAGAAAAAAAAAGAGACACAACCCUCCCGCAACAACAUUACAAAUAUUAUCCCAUACUUUCACACAAUAAAAUCCAUUACAUUUAAAGAAGAAAGCAACACAGACCUCUUUAGCUAGCCAGUUGUCCCCUGAAGAAAUCCUCAGCCUGUGAAUCAUAAAGCAAACGACAGGUCUCCCACAUCCCACAUAUUUCUAAACAUUUCGCUUUCCAAUCACAUGAGCCAAUUUCAUUCUUUAAUGGAUUCACUCACAAUUGGUAGGACUUCCUCCUAGACCAAAGGUUGUUUUCCAACUUCUUGAGAGACUCUGAAACUCAUCAAAAACAAUUCUCACCUGAAAACCGAUGAAGAUCCAAUAAUACGUUGUCCAAUUCUUCGUACUGCAUAAGGCGACUCUUGAGAUAUCUGUCAAGCAGCAAACUACAUAGACAGGCACACAAAGAGGCUCUUUCCCAUCAUCCCACAAGGACAUGUUGAAAUUAUGCAUUGUACUGACUUUAUCCCAAGAACAUCUUUACUUUUGGAAUAGUAGAAUAGAAAGGUUCUUACAUUUCAAUUUCUCAAUAGAAGAAGAUGCUCUUCUCUCUUCUUUGAAACUAUUGGUUAGAAAAAAAAAGAGAAACAACCCUCCCACAACAAUACAAAUAUUAUCCCAUACUUUUACACAAUAAAAUCCAUUACAUUUAAAGAAGAAAGCAACACAGACCUCUUUAGCUAGCCAGUUGUCCCCUGAAGAAAUCCUCAGCCUGUGAAUCAUAAAGCAAACGACAGGUCUCCCACAUCCCACAUAUUUCUAAACAUUUCUCUUUCCAAUCACAUCAGCCAAUUUCAUUCUUUAAUGGAUUCACUCACAAUUGGUAGGACUUCCUCCUAGACCAAAGGUUGUUUUCCAACUUCUUGAAGUACUCUGAAACUCAUCAAAAACAAUUCUCACCUGAAAACUGAUGAAGAUCCAAUAAUAGGUUGUCCAAUUCUUCGUACUGCAUAUGGCGACUCUUGAGAUAUCUGUCAACCAGCAAACUACAUAGACAGGCACACAAAGAGGCUCUUUCCCAUCAUCCCACAAGGACAUGUUGAAAUUAUGCAUUGUACUGACUUGAUCCCAAGAACAUCUUUACUUUUGGAAUAGUAGAAUAGAAAGGUUCUUACAUUUCAAUUUCUCUAUAGAAGAAGAUGCUCUUCUCUUCUUUUAAACUAUUGGUUAGAAAAAAAAAAGAGAAACAACCCUCCCGCAACAAUACAAAUAUUAUCCCAUACUUUUACACAAUAACAUCCAUUACAUUUAAAGAAGAAAGCAACACAGACCUCUUUAGCUAGCCAGUUGUCCACUGAAGAAAUCCUCAGCCUGUGAAUCAUAAAGCAAACGACAGGUCUCCCACAUCCCACAUAUUUCUAAACAUUUCUCUUUCCAAUCACAUCAGCCAAUUUCAUUCUUGAAUUGAUUCACUCACAAUUGGUAGGACUUCCUCCUAGACCAAAGGUUGUUUUCCAACUUCUUGAGAGACUCUGAAACUCAUCAAAAACAAUUCUCACCUGAAAACCGAUGAAGAUCCAAUAAUAGGUUGUCCAAUUCUUCGUACUGCAUAUGGCGACUCUUGAGAUAUCUGUCAACCAGCAAACUACAUAGACAGGCACACAAAGAGGCUCUUUCCCAUCAUCCCACAAGGACAUGUUGAAAUUAUGCAUUGUACUGAAUUGAUCCCAAGAACAUCUUUACUUUUGGAAUAGCAGAAUAGAAAGUUUCUUACAUUUCAAUUUCUCUAUAGAAGAAGAUGCUCUUUUCUCUUCUUUGAAACUAUUGGUUAGAAAAAAAAAGAGAAACAACCCUCCCGCAACAACAAUACAAAUAUUAUCCAAUACUUUUAAAGAAGAAAGCAACACAGACCUCUAUAGCUAGCCAGUUGUCCCCUGAAGAAAUCCUCAGCCUGUGAAUCAUAAAGCAAACGACAGGUCUCCCACAUCCGACAUAUUUCCAAACAUUUCGCUUUCCAAUCACAUCAGCCAAUUUCAUUCUUUAAUGGAUUCACUCACAAUUGGUAGGACUUCCUCCUAGACCAAAGGUUGUUUUCCAACUUCUUAAGAGACUCUGAAACUCAUCAAAAACAAUUCUCACCUGAAAACCGAUGAAGAUCUGAUAAUACGUUGUCCAAUUCUUCGUACUGCAUAAGGCGACUCUUGAGAUAUCUGUCAAGCAGCAAACUACAUAGACAGGCACACAAAGAGGCUCUUUCCCAUCAUCCCACAAGGACAUGUUGAAAUUAUGCAUUGUACUGACUUUAUCCCAAGAACAUCUUUACUUUUGGAAUAGUAGAAUAGAAAGGUUCUUACGUUUCAAUUUCUCUAUAGAAGAAGAUGCUCUUCUCUUCUUUGAAACUAUUGGUUAGAAAAAAAAAGAGAAACAACCCUCCCGCAACAAUACAAAUAUUAUCCCAUACUUUUACACAAUAACAUCCAUUACAUUUAAAGAAGAAAGCAACACAGACCUCUUUAGUUAGCCAGUUGUCCCCUGAAGAAAUCCUCAACCUGUGAAUCAUAAAGCAAACGACAGGUCUCCC